AAUAGAUACCCCGGUAGUCCACGCCGUAAACGAUGAGUGCUAAGUGUUAGAGGGUUUCCGCCCUUUAGUGCUGCAGCAAACGCAUUAAGCACUCCGCCUGGGGAGUACGGCCGCAAGGCUGAAACUCAAAGGAAUUGACGGGGGCCCGCACAAGCGGUGGAGCAUGUGGUUUAAUUUGAAGCAACGCGAAGAACCUUACCAGGUCUUGACAUCUCCUGACAACCCUAGAGAUAGGGCGUUCCCCUUCGGGGGACAGGAUGACAGGUGGUGCAUGGUUGUCGUCAGCUCGUGUCGUGAGAUGUUGGGUUAAGUCCCGCAACGAGCGCAACCCUUGAUCUUAGUUGCCAGCAUUCAGUUGGGCACUCUAAGGUGACUGCCGGUGACAAACCGGAGGAAGGUGGGGAUGACGUCAAAUCAUCAUGCCCCUUAUGACCUGGGCUACACACGUGCUACAAUGGAUGGUACAAAGGGCUGCGAGACCGCGAGGUUAAGCGAAUCCCAUAAAACCAUUCUCAGUUCGGAUUGCAGGCUG
RNAcentral lists this ribosomal RNA (532 nucleotides) under uncultured bacterium. RNAcentral describes it as "bacterial SSU rRNA". It matches the Rfam family "Bacterial small subunit ribosomal RNA", at positions 777 to 1307 of the family's 1533-position model. The record is from RNAcentral.